This is an RNA transcript of Asparagus officinalis (garden asparagus), 2141 nucleotides long. It is a transcript of the gene named zinc finger with UFM1-specific peptidase domain protein, with no coding region annotated. The transcript has 9 exons. NCBI's taxonomy places the organism in Eukaryota, Viridiplantae, Streptophyta, Magnoliopsida, Asparagales, Asparagaceae. The record is from RefSeq and is a predicted model, not a curated record.
AAAGGAAAAGGAUGAAGACGAGAGAUGAUUGUAACAAAGAUCGAUUCUUUGCAUAGAAAUUACGCUCCAAAAGGAAAAGGUGAAGACAAGAGAAGGUGAGGAUCCAGAACGCUCAUCGAAGUUCGGGAAUUUGAUAGUAAAGAAUGCUUGCAUCUUGCCCUUUCUGUCAUAUAGAGCUCCCGGUUACUGAGCUCGAAUGGCACGCGAACAAUCAUUUAGUGGAAGAAGAACUUGCAAGGGAUAUAGAAUUGGCAAAACAAAUCUCACUAGCUUCCCCGAGCUCUUCACUCGUGGAUAGUCAAUUGGAUAAUGCGGAGCCUUCUUAUAUUUUCUCUGAUUGGACUGGUCAAACUAGCACCCCUUGCUCCAAUCACAGUGAAGCUCAUUACUUGGAAAAUUUUGAUCAAGAAAAGAUAUAUGGUUUGGUUGGUUUACAAAUUAAAAGCACAUUAUACAAAGUUGAAGGUGGUCUUAUGACCUUGCUGAAAAGGUGCUUGGAAUCAGAAAGCAAAGCUUCUAAAAGUGUAAUAUCCGGCUAUAUCGAUCACUAUCAGAGUGUUGCAUCAGAAGAUUCUGGAUGGGGCUGUGGAUGGCGUAACAUCCAAAUGAUGUGUUCUCACUUGUUGAUGGUAAGAAAACAAGCAAGGGAUGUUAUGUUUGGUGGUUCAGGAUUUGUUCCUGACAUUCCUUCGCUCCAGAGAUGGCUUGAGAUUGCUUGGGAGAGAGGGUUUGAUAAAACUGGCUCAAAUUCAUUUAAUCAAAAAAUUUAUGGCUCACGAAAAUGGAUUGGGACCACAGAGUGUGCCACACUUCUCCGUUCUUUUGGGCUUCGAGCAAGAAUUGUAGACUUUGAUAGUAUAUCAUAUUCAGGAGGUAAAAGGAUAAGCAAGCAUGUUUAUGGGCCAAUGGACAAGUUUAUACAUCAAAGGAAAGAUGAUGAUUUUUGUGUUACGUCUUCAUCUAUUGGAUCUCAUGAUGAACAUUAUGAUUUGUCUAAUCACCUAAAAUGCAACAGCACUGUGGUUGAUUGCGAUAGUUCAAAUGAUUAUAAAGGAAAGUCCAUGGGUCAUCAGAUCCUCAUCGAUUGGGUUUGGAAUUAUUUUACUAAUCAUGGAAGCACGGACAACAAACAACAUGUUUUGACAAGUGAGAAAACGCCUUUGUACUUCCAGCAUUAUGGCCAUUCAAGAACUAUUGUUGGAAUCCAAAAGCAGCAGGGAAAAAAUGGAUCUCAAGACCGAUGCUCUCUUUUGAUUUUGGACCCUGCCCAGAGAACUGCAGAUUUGGAAAGAUGUCUUACUACUAACAGGGGGUGGCAACAACUAAUAAAACGAGGGGUUCACACACUGAGAAAGCCACAAUAUCAGUUAUGUUAUGUUGAUCCUGGGACUGCGAAUGGAGAAGAGUUGGAACAGCUCAAGACUAUUGAUAGCAUUUGUGUAAGAUUAUAAAAGAUUGGUCUAAAUAGCAUGAAGAAUCUGUAGCAUCCGGCUUAUCUGGCACAAUUUCAGUUUCGCGGUCAAGGAUCUGAUAAGCUGGUGUCAGUAUGCUGAUAGCAGAGACAACCAUGGGGAUCAAAGUCCAUAGCUCAGUGAUUGAAGGAACAGUAAGUGAGAAAAUCUGUGUAUGUAGCUCCAAUGCCAAGAAUCAGUGGCACCACAAACAAAGCAAGAAGGCCUACUUCCCAGCAACAGAUGAAAGCAACUACGAUACCCACAAAGAAAGUGGAGAGGCUUGAGAUGCAAUGUCCCAUCUGGGAGGGGUCAAAAUUAAUUCAUUUUAGGAGCUAUAUAUGUUAGCCAAUGACGGUAAUAUAAUGGAGGAUAGUUACUCACCCUCUCGCCGAUUGCAUCUUGUAUGAUAUUCAUGUGGCUUGUGGUUCCAGUAAUUAUCUUUCCUGUGGUGAGAUCUGUGUCAAAAGCUGCAAUAUCUUGGGUUAGAACUGCUUCGAGAAAUGCCAGCCUCAAGCGUGAUAGUUGCCUUUCGCUGGAGUACAUCCAGCAUGAGAUUUCUGUGUUCACGUGUUCUUGUUAUUGUAUGCAAUCUUGGAGUAAACAGAACAAGCAGCUUGAUACUGUAAUCGAAGGAAAUUAAUUGUUGCCACAAUUAUGUUGUAUGAGAACGUAGGCAUUUUUUCCCCC